This 253-nucleotide ribosomal RNA is filed under the name uncultured bacterium. RNAcentral describes it as "partial 16S ribosomal RNA". It matches the Rfam family "Bacterial small subunit ribosomal RNA", at positions 524 to 776 of the family's 1533-position model. The record is from RNAcentral.
UACGGAGGGUGCAAGCGUCGUUCGGAAUUACUGGGCGUAAAGGGCGCGUAGGCGGUCUGCUCAGUCAGAUGUGAAAGUCCAUGGCUCAACCGUGGAAGUGCAUUUGAUACUGGCAGACUCGAGGAUGGUAGGGGUGAGUGGAACUCCAGGUGGAGCGGUGAAAUGCGUAGAUAUCUGGAGGAACACCGGUGGCGAAAGCGGCGUGCUGGACCUUUUCUGACGCUGAGGCGCGAAAGCUAGGGGAGCAAACGGG